CAGUCGCCGCGGUAAUACGUAGGGUGCGAGCGUUAAUCGGAAUUACUGGGCGUAAAGCGUGCGCAGGCGGUUGUGUAAGACAGGUGUGAAAUCCCCGGGCUUAACCUGGGAACUGCGCUUGUGACUGCACAGCUAGAGUAUGGCAGAGGGGGGUGGAAUUCCACGUGUAGCAGUGAAAUGCGUAGAGAUGUGGAGGAACACCGAUGGCGAAGGCAGCCCCCUGGGCCAAUACUGACGCUCAUGCACGAAAGCGUGGGGAGCAAACAGGAUUAGAGACCCGUGUAGUCCCUGUCUCUUAUAC
This 301-nucleotide ribosomal RNA is filed under the name uncultured bacterium. Its description in RNAcentral is "partial 16S ribosomal RNA". It matches the Rfam family "Bacterial small subunit ribosomal RNA", at positions 509 to 807 of the family's 1533-position model. The record is from RNAcentral.